Molecule: unclassified non-coding RNA, 3736 nt
Filed under: Hevea brasiliensis (rubber tree)
Lineage: Eukaryota; Viridiplantae; Streptophyta; Magnoliopsida; Malpighiales; Euphorbiaceae
Source: RNAcentral
UUAGGCUAUUUUGAAACCAAUAGUCUUGCUUUCUUUCACCACAUGAAAUCUGUGUGAAGGUGUUUUUAAACAUAAGUAAAAUCAAUAGCUUUCUUGUUCUGUGGUUGAUCAUAUUAUUAUGAUGCACACUCCAAGUCCCAUAUGCAUGUACAUAAACCAAUCAAACCAGUAUGCACUUGAUGAAAUCUCAACUAAACCACAUAUGCUGAGCUAGUAUGUGCUAAGGAAUUGUAAGGAAUUGUGAUAUAUCAAAUAUGCUUGAUAAUGACUCUAAGUUGAGCUCGACAAUUGUGAACAAGAGAAAAUUAGAAACAUUGUAAUUCUUCUCCAUCCUCGAGAAGUAUAAUGCUGGCAAGAGAAACCAGCCAUAUUAAAUGUUCCUUCAAAUAACUAUAAAACUAAAGUUUCUCAUCAUAGUAGCUUUGGUAGUGAUGGGUUUCUUUCUGGUUUAUUGAUGAUGAGUCUAUUAGCAUAUAUGUUUAGUACCACUGCAGACAUCCUUCAACUUAUUGAUAACCUUAUUAGGAUAGCAACUAUUGAACUAUUUGAUAGACAUACGCAAUCUCAUAUACAAAACCUGAGUUCAAUUAUUUUUCACCUCUUAAUGUAGGUCCAUUACACUGCAAGAUUUGCAGAUGGGAUAGUUUUCGACAGCAGCUAUAAACGUGGUAGACCUCUCACCAUGCGCAUUGGUGUUGGCAAAGUAUGAACUUAUUAGGUGUCAUUUUGUUUCAGUUCAAUUAUUUUCUCAAUUUUAAGAGUAGCAAGAUAAUCUGUUGAUCUCCCAGUUCAAAAACAUCAUGCUUCCUGCUUCUAAAACUAGGGUCAAAAUCUCACCAUAUGCAUGUGGUAAAUUACCCGAUAAAAAUGCUAUUCAAAGAUUGCACAUAUUUUUACUGCACUCUUGCCAAUUUGUUCAUACCAUGCUAUAUUAAAUUUGAAAAAUAAUGAUGCGUGCACCAAAAUUUCAUUCUUGGAAACUAGUCUCUUCCUUCUAUGGUUGGCUUCAUAUGAAAUUAUUUCAAUUUGUAGCACAUUACAUGUGUUGUCAGAAUAAAUUUUUCUAUAUUCAGGGAAGUGUUUGGUGUCUGUUACCUUCAUUGUUAGAAUCAAUAGAAUGGCCUUUAUAAUUCUUUGUGAUGCCGUAUAGGUUUUGAUAGAUCAAUAUGCUUCCCUUUAGUUCAAAAGGUCAUAAUGGCCUAGCAAUACUCUUUAUAUGUGUAUAUCAUAUAGGAAUAGGAUCAAUCAAUAACCAACAAACUUCUGAAAGUGAUAAACUAAUGAUGUUGUCUUAUCUUUGAUUAGCAUCAAUUUUGGAGUUUGAGGACAUGAUAAAAGUUAGCUUCUCCAUUCUUUGUUCAUGAUUUUCACUGUCAUUAUAAUAACCCAGUCUUGUCUUGAAAUAUUAUAUGAUGAAUGCCUUGAAUACAAGUCUGAGUAACGUACUGACGACAACCUAGAACUUUAAAAAUUAAGCCAUUUGACUAGGCUUUCUUCAUUGACAUUGAUGAAAAAUCUUGGGUCAAGUUAUGAAAGACCACAAUGAAAUCACCACUAAUUUUGAAUUGCAAGAUAAGCAUCUUCAAUGCAAAGAGUUUAAUUAACGAACUACAACAAGAGGCAGCUAAAUUUUUGGGCCAUUUCCAGUUUAGUAGUUGGACUCAUUGCCUAGUACUGAGGUUGUUUCCAAUCACAUAAGAUCUGAUUUAAGACCAUGGGUACGUCGAUUUAAUAGCAAUGCGAAGUGACCCAUCCGAUAACGGUAAACAUGCAUUAGACCUGCAAUUCUAGAGAAAAUUACUUAGCCAUCCAAUUCCUCUUACCAAGACCCUAGAACUUCAAUUAUUGGAAUAUAAUUAGGCUCACUUCAUUUAGGUGGCUUAAGCCAUGUGAUUAAGCUCACUCAUCAAACUUCUGAACACGUAAGCUUCCUAGAGUAUGACAACUUCAUUCUUACAUUGAUCAAUUAUCUUUUGCAUGAAUAUUAUUUGUCCAGGUCAUUAGGGGAUUAGAUCAGGGAAUUCUCGGGGGUGAUGGAGUACCACCAAUGCAAGUAGGUGGGAAACGUAAGCUUCAAAUUCCUCCAAAGUUAGCAUAUGGGCCAGAACCUGCAGGUUGCUUUUCAGGUGACUGCAAUAUCCCUGCCAAUGCAACUCUUGUGUAUGAUAUCAAUCUUGUUCGCAUCUACUCAGGAAAUAGAAAGUGAAGUCCAUAAUCAUAUGACAACAAAGUGAAGAAAGUCCAAUAUAGAUUGAGUAAGUCCCCUGAUGUCUUGGAAAUGAUACUAUUGCACAUUAUUGGAUAGAUAUACUUUGGAUGUGAAUCAUAACAAUAUGUGCCAUCUACUUUCUUAUGUACAGUUAACCAAGAAAUAGAACAUCAAGGGCUGCUAAUAUAUUGGUCAGACCCAUGUCUAAUAAUUCACAUUUGAAUUGGUAUACUUGAAUUUAUAUUCUUUCCACCCCUACCUUGCAUAAUCAGUGAUAUACUGUGAUGCAAGCAGUCAUAAAGACUGGAUUAAUCCUGUUUUCAGUACCAACAGUUAUUAAAAUGUGGGAUCAUGGCUGUCAAUGACACUUCCAAUUUUCUAUCCAAAACUUAAGAAGUUUUCUAAAAUUUUGACAAGCCAAUGGUGGAGUUCAAUGAAUACUUCAGAAGGCCCACGGUGCUAUAGAUUGCAUAUGGCUUAGUCCCUUCCAGGGACAGAGUGAGCUCACUAGUAGUAGGAACACAUGUAUGAUGCAUGAUACACACAGACACUCUUCAGUUGUAUGAUGCUUUUGGUUUGAACACAUCAACUAGUAAAGCAGAGCAAUUAUGCAUUAAUCCUAAAUAUUCUGCAUAUGAUAAGCAUCUUUCAUCAGUCUUUUCCUCAUAAUUCACAUGAUAAAUUUUUUCCCAAUUACUUGUUACAUAAACAAUUAUGCAAAUUGGGCUGAUUAAAACAACUAUUAAUGAUAGCCCCAAAGUUUUAUGGGCACUUGCUGCUUUACCAUGAAGAUGGAUUUGCUAUUAAUAAAUAAAUUUGAUUUAUAAAAUUAUUUGCUGCAAUUAUACUGAUCUGAUGUGCUUUCUUUGCUUUUGUACUCUGAAUUUGCCUGAAGUUGGUUGUUUCUCAUAGUUUACAGAAAGUGAAGACCUUUAGAGUAUGGAUCAAAUUUUAUGUCCGGGUAUGAUGAUGAUUCACACUAUUAAGAGGAUGAGCAUAACUUAGCUGUGCUUACUUUGAGGAGGGAAGUCUUCUAUCUUCUUUGGUGGGGGAAUGAAGUUAAACGAGUUGAUUCCUAUCUUUUGUACGUAGCAAGAGACAUAAAUUUUGUACCUAAUAAUUUUUAGAUCUUAUUUUUUCAGUUUAUCAAACUUUUUGUGUUGCUGCUUACUUGAAGUAUGCGUAUAUGAUGCCUUACAUGCUAGAAAAAUCUGUCUCUUCAUUUAUCUGUCCCUUAUCUGCCUUUAAAUUUUUUCUUUUUAAAUCAAAAUGAAUGAUUUUGCACUGUUAAUAGAACAGUGAUGGAAGAGUCUGGAAAAUGAACAUAAAUUCUUCUGUUGUUGAGUGCAUCUUCAUCUUCACAAAAUCUUUAUUAGAAUUGGGUGUAAAUAUGCUUUUUGAAUUCUGGAUAUUGCAUGAAUGUCUUUACGCUUCCUUUGGAUCAGUGAAAAUUUGAAGAAAAGAGAAAAGAAAGAUUCUUUUCUCGCGUUUGGUUGGUUCUUGUGAAAAAAAAAAAAAAAAAAAAAA